This 469-nucleotide ribosomal RNA is filed under the name uncultured bacterium. RNAcentral describes it as "partial 16S ribosomal RNA". It matches the Rfam family "Bacterial small subunit ribosomal RNA", at positions 28 to 507 of the family's 1533-position model. The record is from RNAcentral.
GACGAACGCUGGCGGCGUGCUUAACACAUGCAAGUCGAACGGAAAGGCCCUGCUUGCAGGGUGCUCGAGUGGCGAACGGGUGAGUAACACGUGGGUGAUCUGCCCCUUAUUUUGGGAUAAGCCUGGGAAACUGGGUCUAAUACUGGAUAGGACCAUGCUGUAGGUGGUGUGGUGGAAAGAUUAGUUUCGGUAAGGGAUGAGCUCGCGGCCUAUCAGCUUGUUGGUGGGGUAAUGGCCUACCAAGGCGUCGACGGGUAGCCGGCCUGAGAGGGUGGACGGCCACAUUGGGACUGAGAUACGGCCCAGACUCCUACGGGAGGCAGCAGUGGGGAAUAUUGCACAAUGGGAGCAAGCCGGAUGCAGCGACGCCGCGUGGGGGAUGACGGCCUUCGGGUUGUAAACUCCUUUCAGCCAUGACGAAGCCCUUGUGGUGACGGUAGUGGUAGAAGAAGCACCGGCUAACUACGUG